GACGAACGCUGGCGGCGUGUUUAACACAUGCAAGUCGAACGGAGAUAACCGAGUAGCAAUACGAGAUUUUCUUAGUGGCGGACGGGUGAGUAACGCGUGAGCAAUUUGCCUUUGGGUGGGGGACAACAGCUGGAAACGGCUGCUAAUACCGCAUACGACAGCGUGGGGGCAUCCCCGUGCUGUGAAAGGAGCAAUCCGCCCAUAGAUGAGCUCGCGUCCCAUUAGGUAGUUGGCGGGGUAACGGCCCACCAAGCCCGCGAUGGGUAGCCGGACUGAGAGGUUGGCCGGCCACACUGGAACUGAGACACGGUCCAGACUCCUACGGGAGGCAGCAGUGAAGAAUAUUGGGCAAUGGGCGAAAGCCUGACCCAGCAACGCCGCGUGAGGGAAGAAGGUUCUCGGAUUGUAAACCUCUGUCCCAUGGGACGAAACAAAUGACGGUACCAUGGGAGGAAGCCCCGGCUAACUACGUGCCAGCAGCCGCGGUAAUACGUAGGGGGCAAGCGUUGUCCGGAAUUAUUGGGCGUAAAGGGUGCGUAGGCGGCCUUUCAAGUUGGAUGUGAAAUCCCCGUGCUUAACAUGGGAAUUGCAUUCAAAACUGGAGGGCUUGAGUGUGGAAGAGGUAAGUGGAAUUCCCAGUGUAGCGGUGAAAUGCGUAGAUAUUGGGAGGAACACCAGUGGCGAAGGCGACUUACUGGGCCACAACUGACGCUGAUGCACGAAAGCGUGGGGAGCAAACAGGAUUAGAUACCCUGGUAGUCCACGCUGUAAACUAUGGAUACUAGGUGUAGGGGGUAACACCCCCCCUGUGCCGCAGCUAACGCAAUAAGUAUCCCGCCUGGGGAGUACGGUCGCAAGAUUG
This 862-nucleotide ribosomal RNA is filed under the name uncultured bacterium. Its description in RNAcentral is "bacterial SSU rRNA". It matches the Rfam family "Bacterial small subunit ribosomal RNA", at positions 28 to 896 of the family's 1533-position model. The record is from RNAcentral.